AUCAAGAAGGGGUGCGCUACGUUCUUGGUGGGCGAGGAGGUGAAGGACGGGGCGCCGAGGCGGUUCGCGAUGCCGGUGGAGCUGCUCGUGCACCUGCGGAUCAUGGAGCUGCUCGCGGAGGCGGAAGAGAAGUACGGCUACGCACACGAGGGCGCCAUCGUCCUGCCCUGUUGCGUCGAGCGGUUCCAGAAGGCCGUCGACGAGGCGACGGCGCAAGAACGGCACCGUCGUCACCAGCAACACCACCAUCAUCACUUCAACCUUCCUCAGCUAGUCGGGUGCUUUAGGCCGGCGCAUUUUGUUGUUUAG
This 309-nucleotide ribosomal RNA is filed under the name Triticum aestivum (bread wheat). Its description in RNAcentral is "partial small subunit ribosomal RNA". The record is from RNAcentral. Lineage: Eukaryota; Viridiplantae; Streptophyta; Magnoliopsida; Poales; Poaceae.